CGAUCUGCGGUGGAUGCCUUGGCACUAGGAGCCGAUGAAGGACGGGACGAACACCGAUAUGCUUCGGGGAGCUGUAAGCAAGCUUUGAUCCGGAGAUUUCCGAAUGGGGAAACCCACCACUCGUAAUGGAGUGGUAUCCAUAUCUGAAUUCAUAGGAUAUGAGAAGGCAGACCCGGGGAACUGAAACAUCUAAGUACCCGGAGGAAGAGAAAGCAAAUGCGAUUCCCUGAGUAGCGGCGAGCGAAACGGGAUUAGCCCAAACCAAGAGGCUUGCCUCUUGGGGUUGUAGGACACUCUGUACGGAGUUACAAAGGAACGAGGUAGAUGAAGAGGUCUGGAAAGGCCCGCCAUAGGAGGUAACAGCCCUGUAGUCAAAACUUCGUUCUCUCCUGAGUGGAUCCUGAGUACGGCGGAACACGUGAAAUUCCGUCGGAAUCCGGGAGGACCAUCUCCCAAGGCUAAAUACUCCCUAGUGACCGAUAGUGAACCAGUACCGUGAGGGAAAGGUGAAAAGCACCCCGGAAGGGGAGUGAAAGAGAUCCUGAAACCGUGUGCCUACAAGUAGUCAGAGCCCGUUAACGGGUGAUGGCGUGCCUUUUGUAGAAUGAACCGGCGAGUUACGAUCCCGUGCAAGGUUAAGCAGAAGAUGCGGAGCCGCAGCGAAAGCGAGUCUGAAUAGGGCGCAUGAGUACGUGGUCGUAGACCCGAAACCAGGUGAUCUACCCAUGUCCAGGGUGAAGUUCAGGUAACACUGAAUGGAGGCCCGAACCCACGCACGUUGAAAAGUGCGGGGAUGAGGUGUGGGUAGGGGUGAAAUGCCAAUCGAACCUGGAGAUAGCUGGUUCUCUCCGAAAUAGCUUUAGGGCUAGCCUCAAGGUAAGAGUCUUGGAGGUAGAGCACUGAUUGGACUAGGGGCCCCUACCGGGUUACCGAAUUCAGUCAAACUCCGAAUGCCAAUGACUUAUCCUUGGGAGUCAGACUGCGAGUGAUAAGAUCCGUAGUCGAAAGGGAAACAGCCCAGACCGCCAGCUAAGGUCCCAAAGUAUACGUUAAGUGGAAAAGGAUGUGGAGUUGCUUAGACAACCAGGAUGUUGGCUUAGAAGCAGCCACCAUUUAAAGAGUGCGUAAUAGCUCACUGGUCGAGUGACUCUGCGCCGAAAAUGUACCGGGGCUAAACGUAUCACCGAAGCUGCGGACUGUUCUUCGAACAGUGGUAGGAGAGCGUUCUAAGGGCUGUGAAGCCAGACCGGAAGGACUGGUGGAGCGCUUAGAAGUGAGAAUGCCGGUAUGAGUAGCGAAAGAGGGGUGAGAAUCCCCUCCACCGAAUGCCUAAGGUUUCCUGAGGAAGGCUCGUCCGCUCAGGGUUAGUCGGGACCUAAGCCGAGGCCGAAAGGCGUAGGCGAUGGACAACAGGUUGAUAUUCCUGUACCACCUCCUCACCAUUUGAGCAAUGGGGGGACGCAGGAGGAUAGGGUAAGCGCGGUAUUGGAUAUCCGCGUCCAAGCAGUUAGGCUGAGAUC
Molecule: ribosomal RNA, 1520 nt
Filed under: Tissierella simiarum
Lineage: Bacteria; Bacillati; Bacillota; Tissierellia; Tissierellales; Tissierellaceae
Description: Tissierella sp. MSJ-40 partial 23S ribosomal RNA
Rfam family: Bacterial large subunit ribosomal RNA
Source: RNAcentral